RNAcentral lists this ribosomal RNA (274 nucleotides) under uncultured bacterium. RNAcentral's name for it is "partial 16S ribosomal RNA". It matches the Rfam family "Bacterial small subunit ribosomal RNA", at positions 524 to 796 of the family's 1533-position model. The record is from RNAcentral.
GACGAACCGUGCGAACGUUAUUCGGAAUCACUGGGCUUAAAGCGCGUGUAGGCGGAUGAGCACGUCUGUCGCUGAAAUCCCCCGGCUCAACCGGGGAACGGGCGGAGAUACGGCUUGUCUGGAGGGGCGUAGGGGGACCUGGAACUUCCGGUGGAGCGGUGAAAUGCGUUGAGAUCGGAAGGAACGCCCGUGGCGAAAGCGAGGUCCUGGACGCCUACUGACGCUGAGACGCGAAAGCCAGGGGAGCGAACGGGAUUAGAUACCCCCGUAGUCC